AAAUUGAAGAGUUUGAUCAUGGCUCAGAUUGAACGCUGGCGGCAGGCCUAACACAUGCAAGUCGAACGGUAACAGGAAGCAGCUUGCUGCUUUGCUGACGAGUGGCGGACGGGUGAGUAAUGUCUGGGAAACUGCCUGAUGGAGGGGGAUAACUACUGGAAACGGUGGCUAAUACCGCAUAACGUCGCAAGACCAAAGAGGGGGACCUUCGGG
This 213-nucleotide ribosomal RNA is filed under the name Salmonella enterica subsp. enterica serovar Senftenberg. RNAcentral describes it as "partial 16S ribosomal RNA". It matches the Rfam family "Bacterial small subunit ribosomal RNA", at positions 1 to 209 of the family's 1533-position model. RNAcentral also lists the same sequence under 9 other names. The record is from RNAcentral. Lineage: Bacteria; Pseudomonadati; Pseudomonadota; Gammaproteobacteria; Enterobacterales; Enterobacteriaceae.